RNAcentral lists this ribosomal RNA (253 nucleotides) under uncultured bacterium. RNAcentral's name for it is "partial 16S ribosomal RNA". It matches the Rfam family "Bacterial small subunit ribosomal RNA", at positions 524 to 776 of the family's 1533-position model. The record is from RNAcentral.
UACGAAGGGGGCUAGCGUUGUUCGGAAUUAAUGGGCGUAAAGGGCGCGUAGGCGGUUUUGUAAGUCAGGUGUGAAAGCCCCUGGCUCAACCCGGGAAUAGCAUUUGAUACUUCGUGGCUUGAGUCCGGGAGAGGAUGGCGGAAGUCCCAGUGUAGAGGUGAAAUUCGUAGAUAUUGGGAAGAACACCGGUGGCGAAGGCGGGCAUCUGGAACGGUACUGACGCUGAGGCGCGAAAGCGUGGGGAGCAAACAGG